CCUACGGGAGGCUGCAGUGGGGAAUAUUGCACAAUGGGGGAAACCCUGAUGCAGCGACGCCGCGUGAGUGAAGAAGUAAUUCGUUAUGUAAAGCUCUAUCAGCAGGGAAGAAAAUGACGGUACCUGAGUAAGACGCCCCGGCUAACUACGUGCCAGCAGCCGCGGUAAAACGUAGGGGGCAAGCGUUAUCCGGAUUUACUGGGUGUAAAGGGAGCGUAGGCGGCAGUGCAAGUCUGGAGUGAAAGGCGGGGGCUCAACCCCGGGACUGCUCUUGGAACUGCGCGGCUGGAGUGCAGGAGGGGCAGGCGGAAUUCGUGGUGUAGCGGUGAAAUGCGUAGAUAUCAGGAGGAACACCGGUGGCGAAGGCGGCCUGCUGGACUGCGACUGACGUUGAGGCCCGAAAGCGUGGGGAGCGAACAGGAUUAGAUACCCCGGUAGUC
Molecule: ribosomal RNA, 440 nt
Filed under: uncultured bacterium
Lineage: Bacteria
Description: partial 16S ribosomal RNA
Rfam family: Bacterial small subunit ribosomal RNA
Source: RNAcentral